Molecule: ribosomal RNA, 207 nt
Filed under: uncultured bacterium
Lineage: Bacteria
Description: partial 16S ribosomal RNA
Rfam family: Bacterial small subunit ribosomal RNA
Source: RNAcentral
CGCGUAGGUGGCUUUACAAGUCUGGAGUGAAAGUCCCGUUUUUAAGGUGGGAAUGGCUUUGGAAACUGUAAGGCUUGAGUGUGGGAGAGGAUAGCGGAAUUCCUAGUGUAGCGGUGAAAUGCGUAGAUAUUAGGAAGAACACCAGUGGCGAAGGCGGCUUACUGGACGGUAACUGACGUUGAGGCUCGAAAGUGUGGGUAGCAAACA